This 1230-nucleotide long non-coding RNA is filed under the name Papio anubis (olive baboon). RNAcentral describes it as "lncRNA (ENSPANG00000046619.1)". Lineage: Eukaryota; Metazoa; Chordata; Mammalia; Primates; Cercopithecidae. The record is from RNAcentral.
AUGAUCUUCACAUCAGUUCCACGACUUUGUGAACAAGAAAUCUAUACACAUUCACUUGAACUGCACAUGCACACACACACUCUCAUAUACUCUUCACACACAGCUCACGCACUCACAUAUACUCCCAGACAUACACACCACACACAUUCACACACACACACCAACACACAUUCACACACACACCAACACACACUCACAUUCACACACACCAACACACACUCAUAUUCACACACACGCCAAACACCCAUUCACACACACCAACACACACAUACACCUCCAAACACAUUCACAUACCAACACAUUCACACACACAACACACACAUUCACAUGCACACACCAACACUCACAUUCACACACACCAACACACACUCACAUUCACACGCCAACACAUUCACAUUCACACACCAACACAUUCACACACACACCAACACACACAUUCACACACACCAACACACACACUCAUUCACACACACCAACACACAUUCACACGCACACCAACACACACAUUCACAUGCACACACCAAGCACACACACCAACACUCACAUUCACACACACCAACACACACACCAACACACACAUUCACACACCAACACACAUUCACACACACCAACACACAGUCACACACCAACACAUAUUCACACACACACCAACACAUAUUCACACACACAGCAAACAUAUUCACACACACAGCAACACACAUUCACACACACACCAACACACACAUUCACACACCAACACACAUUCACACCAAUACACACUCACAUUCACACACACCAACAUAUAUUCACACACCACACACGUUUCACACACACCAACACACACAUACACACACCAACACACACAUUCACUCACACCACACACUCUACAUUCACACACACACACCCCAACACACAUUCAUAUACACACACACCAACACACACUCACACAUUCACACACACCACACACAUUCACACACACACCAACACACACACAUACACACACCACACACAUACCACACACACACCAACACACACACAUUCACACACACCACACACAUACACACACACCAACACACUCACACACCAACACACACAUUCACACACACCACAUUCACACAGACCAACACACACACACCACACACAUUCUCACACACACACACCAACACACUCACAUUCACACACCACACACACCAACACACAUUCACACACACACACCAACACACACAUUCACACACCACACCACCUGCUUAA